This 270-nucleotide unclassified non-coding RNA is filed under the name Hevea brasiliensis (rubber tree). The record is from RNAcentral. Lineage: Eukaryota; Viridiplantae; Streptophyta; Magnoliopsida; Malpighiales; Euphorbiaceae.
AUAAACUGUAGCAAAUAUUUCUGACAGAUUAACAGGUGCAAUAAGAGGUUAUUGUUCAAAACUCGCAUCCUCCGAUAGCGUUUUCAGGCUGCUAAGGACAACCCAAACAUAUUUUUGAAAACACAGUGGUAUCUUGCUCAGCUUGCGUGCACCUCGAUCAAUCUUUACUUUAUGAAUGUGUAAUUUUAUCCACAUAAAGCAGCCCUUCCCUAAUUCCCUCUAUUUUCCUUAUCCAUGUCUCUUCCUCAGUGGGCCUCAAAAUAUUAGGCA